Dermacentor andersoni is the source of this 2674-nucleotide non-coding RNA. The record is from RefSeq and is a predicted model, not a curated record. NCBI's taxonomy places the organism in Eukaryota, Metazoa, Arthropoda, Arachnida, Ixodida, Ixodidae.
ACUCUAUGACCAUAGUUCAUGCCAGUUGGCCAGUCGCAUCGCUGUGACCAUCAACUGUUGUGUACAAAUGGCGGUUUACACAUUAUUCUGCGAAGGCGUUCACCGCAAGUACAAAGCUAGUUUAUGUUCAAAGGCAACUGCGUUUGUUGUGGUUCUAAGCUGCGCAACAAUCGUAAUUCCAUUCAUGUUCGCCUACAAAGACCUAGGGUUCUGGAAGAAGCUAGAUCAGUACCAAGAACAACCUGAAGUGCGCUUCAAGCGUCGACUGAUAUUUAUAUUAGAAUGUGGCGAGGGACUCGUAUUUUGGAGUUCUUACCCUUUCCUAAACUCUCAUGCUACAGAAUUAAGCAUCCCCUCUGUAGAGGAUUUAGAGGAAGACUUCGAUUCUGAUGGGAAAAUGGAUGAGCUGAAUCUCAGCGUUAAAAUGCCGCUGCCAAAAAAGUUCGACGUGCUUCGUGUGAAAAUCCUUCUUCUUUUUGAUUGUAGAAUUGCGACGUACACCAGGGUCUCAUAUGAGGGGCUAGCCUUUAUUGACCAUUCCUCCAGCAUUUCUGGCUCAGAACUUUCACUGACAGGAGAACUGAGACUUCGCCAGAAAGAACUGUUGCGACCUGGGUCUCAUGACAGCCGCUUUGAGCAUUCCAUCAUCAAUCUGGACAGUUCUAGCGUGUCUUCAUUCAGUCUUGAUUUCAUUCUAGACGAGUACUCAAAACGAAAUGUGACAACGCAGCUGUCCAAUGUUCAAAGUACAUGGAGGGUUGCCUCGGGCGCUACACAUUUCCUUGCCAACCUGAGGAUCAAGUACCCAGUAGAGAUUUUGUGGUAUCGUCCCGGAGUGUGGCAAGUCCUGAAGCAUGCCUGGACCCAGUAUUUGGCAUUUCUUGCUAUUUUUCUCUUACUGGGUGAAAGGACCAAGGAGUUUGUGUUUGUCUCAGGAGGCGAACCGGAAAUGCUGCACAGGAAACAAGAGUGUCACUCAAUGCUCAUGCCACUAAAAAAGGCCAUUUUGUCCAUAGUAGGAAAAGAUUUCACAGACUGCCAACAGUGGAUCUCUAAUGUUUUCAAUGUGCCCUACAACACUGUUUCACCCAUUGGCUGCCAAAGCUGGCAAACCCCAGACUCGAAGAACCUCGACCACAUUGUCAAAGCGAGCGAUUCACAGGAUUGGUUUAAAACGGUAUUUGUUGAUUCUGCAACAUAUAGCAUUAUGUCCGCUUCAGUGGUGGUACGAUCUAAAAAAUAUUUCGUUUAUAUUUGUAGACACUUUGUGCAUGCAUUCCAACAUCUAUGUGCCUGUAGCAGCACAGUGACCGCAUUCCAUCGAAUCCCGGCAAACAAAUUUUGUCACAACAGUGCAAAAUGUGCUGGGACAAAAGAGGAAAACAAAUUUAGCAGGGUGCUUUGUUACGAAGUCCGAAGAAUCCAAGAAUGGGGUUGCCUUGCAUCUAGUGGCUUUCACACAUCAGCGAUUUGAAGGAUCUUGUGGAUGUUCACGGGAUUCAAAGCUUAGUGCUGAAAGUAAGCUCUGGAUGGCUGCACUGUAGUUGCAGAAGAUGGACUGUUGGUGUUGAGCUAGUUUCCAGAUAGAUGAACUGAAGUUCCACAUGCCAGCCUGCAAGCAUGGUGGCUGUUGUGGAUUUCAAGUGUGAGGUUUUGAGUAUAAUCUUGAAUUUAGCUGGGAUGACUGGUGCAAUCAUUCAUGUAGAGUGAGUGAACGAUCACUGGAAAUGUUAGGGCAGCUGCUGUGGACAUCAUGUGCUGCCAAUGAGACUUUGCUUCUUUCUUGAUGCCUAGGAUGUCGGGACACACUUGAGGGGAAUGCAGGUACAACAACGGUGACAGCUGUCUUACUUCAGGUAUAGUACGAUGGCAAGGAAGCUUGGUGAGCAGCAAGAAUAUCUCUGUAACUCGUUUUUAUGCGCUUCCUAAAGCCUCCUCUGCUGCCAAUGCACUCCACUUUGUUUCAAAGCAAAUGAAGAACGGCUCUUGCGUCUGAUGUUGAAGGUGUUUUGCACGAUUCUUUGUUCACUACAAAGUCCUCUUCACCUUCGGCACAUGACACAACAUUGACAAUUUCUGUGUCUGUGGCAGGAGCAACACAGCUGCGUCCACAUCCGCAAUCAGGUUGACAGGAAGAAAAACAAAAGCAAAGAACUACUAUCUAUGCAGCACCAAGUGGUUCCGGGUGGAUUUCCUGCUUCGCAUUUCAUAAGUGGAGUCCGGUGCUGCUACACUUCGAAUACUACUCCGGCCUAAAAUUACUGUGGCCAUCAUAUCACUAGGCUAAAAUGCACAGCAGCCAGAGCCAAUAAAAACUUUGAAUAAAGCAAUAUCUCGAGUGAAGUGCCUUCCCUAUAAUGAGGGUUUACUGCAUUUCCUUUUUUAAUGAAAAUAAGAAGACUUUUAUUGUAAAUUAUAACAAGCCAAACUUUCAUCAUGCUGUGUGUUGUUACUGUAUUCCAUCAUUUUCAUUAUGAUAAUAAUUGUGGCACCUUGCUGAGCUGUGCAACUGAGCAUACAUUGAUUUACGUAUGGUUACAAGGACUAUUGCAUAUUUGAAAGGAUAUUAAAUGGCAUUUCUUCUGCACCUUCUGUCCUUACUUUUCUAUAUGGAAAGGUAUUCAAUUAAAUAUUUGAACAAUUUCUUUCUAACAUUCACCUUCAAUUCAAUAAA